RNAcentral lists this unclassified non-coding RNA (3363 nucleotides) under Sipha flava (yellow sugarcane aphid). Its description in RNAcentral is "uncharacterized LOC112689330, transcript variant X2". Lineage: Eukaryota; Metazoa; Arthropoda; Insecta; Hemiptera; Aphididae. The record is from RNAcentral.
UCGCUUCGGUUCAGUCUCCGCCGAAGACCUCGUGGCACGUAUCAGUCAUUUCGCGGCACCGGUUAGCGGUACACUCGUGCGUGUGCGUUGCGCGUGUGCGGUUUUUUUUUUUUCCCCGUCGUCGCGCGUCCGUUUCCCGACACGCACACACGCACACCGUGUGUUUCACACAGUGCUAUCAAAUAUUCCAAUAACGCUUAUGUGUUUGUCGAUCGUCGUUCUUUUUCUCGUUAUUUUUCCCGUCUUGUCUACACGAGAUUUUUUUUUUUUUUUCUACGGCGCAGUUGUCCGCAACGUGUGCACCUACACCCGCCCGCUCCCCGUACAUAUUUGUCUGCCUGCACUGCACUCCCUGCUCCGGCGGCCAUCAAGGAUAUUCACCCUGAGGGAUAAACAACGCAUUCAGAAAGAAACGAAUCAUAAUAUUUUCCAACACUACCGUUCAGGAUGAUCAGUACCGUGUGAUGCCCAGCGUCAGUCCGUAGUCUACAGCUUCAGCUGCGAUGGGUAACUCGAACAGUCACGGCAGCUCGUACGCGACCAGCGACACACAAGUGAUACCACCGCACUCAUGGGCUUACUCGUUCCCGCGGUCGCAGUACUUCAGACCACCUGCCACGGGCUCAAAGGUGCUGCCGCCGCACGUGCCCAGCCAACGGCUCAGACCCACCGAGAACGGUUCCAUGUUGCACAAUGUCGGCACUAUAAACGGCAAACGGCCAUACGAGUACAUACACCGUGACGACCUACCUCAUGGAUAUGAAAUGCAAAGACACGCACCACGGGAUGGUAGACGAGAUCGUAUGGGAUACAACAUGUACACCAGUGAACCAGAUUUACGGUUCACAGACUCUCGUCAACCACCACCAAUGGGUUACCAACAUCAUAACAACCAUGGGGAUAAUGGAGCUGUCAAAGGUAGAAUGUCCCGGUCAAAAAAGAAGUAUAGAGCACCUCAAAUACCUCCUGCUUCGUCACAUCACAAUGGAAUGGAAAGUUCUUCGCCAGACUCGUAUCAACACUGGGAGAACCACAGAGAUAACAGUAGGUCUAGUCAAAAUAAGGGUGGUAUGCCGAGGUUAAGAUUAUUUAAGACUAGAGCAGAGACAAAACGUAAGCUUAGUAAAGAUGAAAUAAAGAAUGAAGAAAUUCAGUCUAAUGUCCAACCCCAAGCCAGCAAUUUACACCGAAGCAUGUCUUCCCCACAAUUUCAAGCCGAAUUGAAACGUGUUACGGAAAGGCUGAGAGAAAAGGAAUUCCGUCAUCCGCCCAUAGGCCGUGCUUCGGAAAGCUCGUCCAAUCCAGCGUCCGAAGAACGUGCGGUGAUCAUCGCUAACAACGACAAGCACCGAGAGAGUCCUGUGAACUCGAACAGAGAACGGUUGAUGGCUGACCGGGCAAAAAGGAUGUCUAGAUCGAUACCGAACCUUGCGACAAAAGUACAAGAAGACGAUGAUGUACGUUGUACGGGCGAAGGUUCAUCGGCCACGGGUUCCAACGAUGAGAACGCGAAGAACAAAAGAGACAACAAGCCGAAAACAAGUGCACCAGAUACUAAACCGAAAACAUUCUAUUUCGGUAUGAACGAAUUCAACGACGAGAAAAAACUAAACAGGAACACUGGAGACGUAGACCGAUUUGCCGAAAGUUUUAAUAAAACAAACGACUCACCAUCAGAUAGUAUUGUUAGUAGUGAUCCGACGGACGAGAGUGGUGGAGACAUAUCUCUUCAGCUAAGACCUACAUUACCUAGGAAACAAUUUGAUAUCCCUAGGUUUAGUCCUACAGCUGCCUGGCGUUUACUAACUGCUUUAGAAAGUCCAACUCCAGUUAGUCCAAAUUGUAGUGGCGGAGAGGAAGAUUUGAUACCAAUUAUAGAUCAGCCCCACAAUUCUGGAGAUAAAUCUGGAGAUAGUGGUAUUUCUGGAGAUGCUAGUCCACAUUCAGCCCACAAUUCACAAGUGGCUUGGACUCCUCAGCAAGACUUAGAAGAAACAAGUUCAGAUGGAGGGUUGGAUUCAACACCAGUAUCACCUCAAAGUUUGGAUACUACACAAUUUUCUAGGACCCGUACAGUGGCUAGGCCAAGUUUUUGUCUAUCCUUACCAAGAGAUGAAAAUACAGGACUUGACAAAAGAUAUGGGCAGUUGAAUGAAGAUUUUUCACCAAUGAACCCGCCUAAAUCCAAUGGCUAUUUCAAAUCUAAAUUAAACAGAGGAAAAACCUCAAUUGAUAAAAAUAAAUCACACUUGGAUGAAAACUGGGUGUUGAGUAGAAGUGUACCAGAUUCAUUACAUCACUCAGGUCUAGUUGGUAAUUUUCCAUCGCAAAAUUGGACCCAAUUUAAUCAUCAAAACAACGAAGAACUGGCUGAUGAAGAAUUAGCUAUGUCUUCACUGCCCAAGUUUUCAUAUUUGGCAGCAGGUAGACGAGCUAUGUAUUUGCCAGAAUACAAAUCUUUGAACUAUUUAUAUGAGAAGGAUGUGAUGAAUGUACUUGAGAAUAAAGCCAUUGUAUCAAAAUCAUGUGAAGAUCUUACAAGAGAUGAUCAAGAGGACAACCAGUUAUCAAUCACGAAUGAAAAGUCUAAACAAAAAUCCACUAGUAAAAAGUUUGCAUUUCAGAGUACCAUACGACAAAUUGAACGAAAAAAAAUAGCUGAAAAAUUAUCAAAAGAAGCAGAGUACAAAGAACGCCAAAGAUUAAGUGAAAUGGAGGCUAUGCGUCGAGUGGAAGAAGAGUUUCAACGAAAAAGGGAAAGAGAAAAAGCAGAUAUUCGACAACAGUUAAGGCUUUACACAUUAACACAAGGUGAUAGAGAACCAGCACAACCUCUUCCAUCCAGUACUCAAAUUCUUUCAGAAUUUAGAGAGUCUAGACGUGACUAUAAAGACUUCAAUUCUUCCAGAGUUGAACACGAACCCAGUAAUCGUGCUGAAACUCCAGUUAAAAAGUCCACAACUAUACAUCCCAAAGUUGUGUACCAGAUGCCCAAAAGUACUCCAGUGUAUGUAACACCAAGUACUGUUCGUAAACAAUGUAGUGGAAUCGAAAAGAUUGGUUCGUCUACACCAACAACUGGUAACUACAGAAGAGAUUUUGCUCAAGGAGCUUUACCACAUUCGGUUGCGAGUUCAGACUCUGAAGUUUCAGUGUCAAAUACUCGACCAACUUCGCGUACAAAGCAUAGAAGCAGGUUUUAACAAGUACGAAGCUCGGGAUUAAGUGUAUAUUCUAGUCAACAAAAUCAAGUCACCAUUUCACCAAUAUAGAUCUGCCAGUCCAAUAUCUGAUCGAGAAAAAGAAAACAAUGGUAUUGGAUUAAAUCUCGAUUAUGUGCAUAUCAUCCAAAGUUUAAAGGAA